UACGGAGGACCCAAGCGUUAUUCGGAUUUAUUGGGUUUAAAGGGUGCGUAGGCGGGAUAGUAAGUCAGAGGUGAAAUCCCACAGCUUAACUGUGGAACUGCCUUUGAUACUGCUAACCUUGAGUACAGAUGAUGUGGGCGGAAUAUGACAUGUAGCGGUGAAAUGCUUAGAUAUGUCAUAGAACACCGAUUGCGAAGGCAGCUCACAAAACUGUAACUGACGCUGAGGCACGAAAGCAUGGGGAUCGAAC
This 250-nucleotide ribosomal RNA is filed under the name uncultured bacterium. RNAcentral's name for it is "partial 16S ribosomal RNA". It matches the Rfam family "Bacterial small subunit ribosomal RNA", at positions 524 to 773 of the family's 1533-position model. The record is from RNAcentral.